CCUACGGGAGGCAGCAGUGAGGAAUAUUGGUCAAUGGCCGGGAGGCUGAACCAGCCAAGUCGCGUGAGGGAAGACGGCCCUACGGGUUGUAAACCUCUUUUGUCAGGGAGCAAGGUGCAGGUCGGGACCUGCUGUGAGAGUACCUGAAGAAAAAGCAUCGGCUAACUCCGUGCCAGCAGCCGCGGUAAUACGGAGGAUGCGAGCGUUAUCCGGGUUUAUUGGGGUAAAAGGGUGCGCAGGCGGAGGCACAAGUCGGCGGUAAAAUCGCGGGGCUCAACCCCGCUCCGCCGUUGAAACUGUGUGCCUUGAGUGCGCGAAGGGUAGGUGGAAUGCGUGGUGUAGCGGUGAAAUGCAUAGAUAUCACGCAGAACUCCGAUCGCGAAGGCAGCCUACCGGCGCGCAACUGACGCUCAUGCACGAAAGCGUGGGUAUCGAACAGGAUUAGAUACCCUAGUAGUC
RNAcentral lists this ribosomal RNA (459 nucleotides) under uncultured bacterium. Its description in RNAcentral is "partial 16S ribosomal RNA". It matches the Rfam family "Bacterial small subunit ribosomal RNA", at positions 338 to 795 of the family's 1533-position model. The record is from RNAcentral.